RNAcentral lists this transfer RNA (68 nucleotides) under Marmota monax (woodchuck). Its description in RNAcentral is "tRNA.Ala". The record is from RNAcentral. Lineage: Eukaryota; Metazoa; Chordata; Mammalia; Rodentia; Sciuridae.
GGAUUGUGGCUCGGCGGUAGAGCGCUUGCCUAGCACGUGCAGGGUCCUGGGUUUGAUCCUCAGCACCA